UCUAGCACGAAAUAACCUGCAAUCCGCUAUAGCAGGAUUGAAUUCCCAGUUUAGGCGUUUAUAGCUUAAGGUCUGCCCUGAAUAAGUGGCAGUGACGAAUGGGUCCUGCGCAAUGGAAACCUAUGAACCCCGUCAGAUCCGGGAGGAAGCAGCGGUAAGUAGACCCUUCCAUGUGCCGUGGGGGUGCCUAUCUCGAGCUAACUGUUUAGGUAACGCUUGAGUUAUAGCGUCAACCCUGGGUGCACGC
This 247-nucleotide signal recognition particle RNA is filed under the name Tepidimicrobium sp. RNAcentral's name for it is "signal recognition particle sRNA large type". It matches the Rfam family "Bacterial large signal recognition particle RNA". Rfam says of the family: The signal recognition particle (SRP) is a universally conserved ribonucleoprotein involved in the co-translational targeting of proteins to membranes. Archaeal SRP consists of a 7S RNA and homologues of the eukaryotic SRP19 and SRP54 proteins. Lineage: Bacteria; Bacillati; Bacillota; Tissierellia; Tissierellales; Tepidimicrobiaceae. The record is from RNAcentral.